Molecule: ribosomal RNA, 216 nt
Filed under: Glomeromycotina sp.
Lineage: Eukaryota; Fungi; Glomeromycota
Description: partial small subunit ribosomal RNA
Rfam family: Eukaryotic small subunit ribosomal RNA (bases 40-216)
Source: RNAcentral
GGGUCAGUAGGUUGGUCGUGCCACCGGUACGUACUGGUCUCACUGAUUCCUCCUUCCUGAAGAACCGUAAUGCCAUUAAUUUGGUGUUGCGGGGAAACAGGACUGUUAUUUUGAAAAAAUUAGAGUGUUUAAAGCAAGCUAACGCUUUAAUACAUUAGCAUGGAAUAAUGAAAUAGGACGAUCGAUCCUAUUUUGUUGGUUUCUAGGAUUGACGUA